This 828-nucleotide ribosomal RNA is filed under the name Arthrobacter sp. RNAcentral's name for it is "bacterial SSU rRNA". It matches the Rfam family "Bacterial small subunit ribosomal RNA", at positions 56 to 914 of the family's 1533-position model. Lineage: Bacteria; Bacillati; Actinomycetota; Actinomycetes; Micrococcales; Micrococcaceae. The record is from RNAcentral.
UGCAGUCGAACGAUGAACCCCGCUUGCGGGGGGAUUAGUGGCGAACGGGUGAGUAAGACGGAAGUAACCUGCCCUUAACUCUGGGAUAAGCCUGGGAAACUGGGUCUAAUACUGGAUAUUGACUUUCCGCCGCAUGGUGGUUGGUUGAAAGCUUUAGUGGUUUUGGAUGGACUCGCGGCCUAUCAGCUUGUUGGUGAGGUAAUGGCUCACCAAGGCGACGACGGGUAGCCGGCCUGAGAGGGUGACCGGCCACACUGGGACUGAAACACGGCCCAGACUCCUACGGGAGGCAGCAGUGGGGAAUAUUGCACAAUGGGCGAAAGCCUGAUGCAGCGACGCCCCGUGAGGGAUGACGGCCUUCGGGUUGUAAACCUCUUUCACUAGGGAACAAGGCCAGACGUUGUCUGGUUGAGGGUACUUGCACAAGAAGCACCGGCUAACUACGUGCCAGCUCCGCGGUAAUACGUAGGGUGCAAGCGUUAUCCGGAAUUAUUGGGCGUAAAGAGCUCGUACGCGGAUUGUCCCGUCUGCCGUGAAAGUCCGGGGCUCAACCCCGGAUCUGCCGUGGGUACGGGCAGACUAGAGUGAUGUAGGGAGACUGGAAUUCCUGGUGUAGCGGUGAAUGCGCAGAUAUCAAGAGGAACACCGAUGGCAAAGCAUGUCUCUGGACAUUACUGACCUGACGAGCUAACCAUGAGGAGCGAACAGGAUUAGAUCCCUGGUAGUCCAUGCCGUAACGUUGGGCACUAGUGUGGGGACUUCACGUUUCGCGCCGAGCUACGCAUUAAUGCCCGCCUGGGAUACGCCGAAGGUAAACUCAAGAAUGAC